This 450-nucleotide ribosomal RNA is filed under the name uncultured Glomus. Its description in RNAcentral is "SSU rRNA". It matches the Rfam family "Eukaryotic small subunit ribosomal RNA", at positions 544 to 998 of the family's 1831-position model. Lineage: Eukaryota; Fungi; Glomeromycota; Glomeromycetes; Glomerales; Glomeraceae. The record is from RNAcentral.
ACAAUUGGAGGGCAAGUCUGGUGCCAGCAGCCGCGGUAAUUCCAGCUCCAAUAGCGUAUAUUAAAGUUGUUGCAGUUAAAAAGCUCGUAGUUGAAUUUCGGGACUGACAGGUUGGUCGCGCCUUUGGUGUGUACUGGCCUAGUCGGUUUCUCCCUUCUGACGAACCACGAUGUCAUUAAUUUGGUGUCGUGGGGAAUCAGGACUGUUAUUUUGAAAAAAUUAGAGUGUUUAAAGCAGGCUUAGGCUUGAAUACAUUAGCAUGGAAUAAUGAAAUAGGACGUUUGAUCCUAUUUUGUUGGUUUCUAGGAUCACCGUAAUGAUUAAUAGGGAUUGUUGGGGGCAUUAGUAUUCAAUUGUCAGAGGUGAAAUUCUUGGAUUUAUUGAAGACUAACUACUGCGAAAGCAUUUGCCAAGGAUGUUUUCAUUAAUCAAGAACGAAAGUUAGGGGAU